GCCUUCGUGGUGUAGUGGUCAGCGCGCUCGACGCGCAACCGAGAGGUACGUGGUUCAAUUCCCGGCGAAGGUU
This 73-nucleotide transfer RNA is filed under the name Stegodyphus mimosarum. It matches the Rfam family "tRNA". From Rfam's summary of the family: Transfer RNA (tRNA) molecules are approximately 80 nucleotides in length. Their secondary structure includes four short double-helical elements and three loops (D, anti-codon, and T loops). Further hydrogen bonds mediate the characteristic L-shaped molecular structure. tRNAs have two regions of fundamental functional importance: the anti-codon, which is responsible for specific mRNA codon recognition, and the 3' end, to which the tRNAs corresponding amino acid is attached (by aminoacyl-tRNA synthetases). tRNAs cope with the degeneracy of the genetic code in two manners: having more than one tRNA (with a specific anti-codon) for a particular amino acid; and 'wobble' base-pairing, i.e. permitting non-standard base-pairing at the 3rd anti-codon position. The record is from Rfam by way of RNAcentral. Lineage: Eukaryota; Metazoa; Arthropoda; Arachnida; Araneae; Eresidae.